UAAGGAAUAUUGGACAAUGGAGGCAACUCUGAUCCAGCCAUGCCGCGUGAAGGAAUAAGGCCCUAUGGGUUGUAAACUUCUUUUAGACGGGACAAAACCCCUUUACGUGUAAAGGGUUGAUGGUACUGUCAGAAUAAGCAUCGGCUAACUUCGUGCCAGCAGCCGCGGUAAUACGAAGGAUGCAAGCGUUAUCCGGAAUUAUUGGGUCUAAAGGGUGCGUAGGCGGACUAAUAAGUCAGUGGUGAAAGCCUGCAGCUUAACUGCAGAAUUGCCAUUGAUACUGUUAGUCUUGAGUACAGUUGAGGUAGGCGGAAUGUGUCAUUUAGCGGUGAAAUGCUUAGAUAUGACACAGAACACCAAUUUCGGAGGCAGCUAGCUAAGCUAUAACUGACGCUCAUGCACGAAAGCGUGGGGAGCAAACA
RNAcentral lists this ribosomal RNA (422 nucleotides) under uncultured bacterium. RNAcentral describes it as "bacterial SSU rRNA". It matches the Rfam family "Bacterial small subunit ribosomal RNA", at positions 355 to 774 of the family's 1533-position model. The record is from RNAcentral.